UCAGAACAUAUUAUACUUCUCAGUAGAAGAACUUCCUCAAUCCAUCCUAAAGCCAAAAUGAUUCCCAUCAUCUCUCCUGCAUAAACUGAUACUCCACCAGUAAUUCUUUUACAUUUUUUAAUACUGAAUUCUGGAACAAUGAAUGACAUCCCAUUAUUGCUAUUUGAGCAGUAAUGGGGUGUCGUGGCCAGCUCUGUCUGUUUUCUGCUGCAGCAUCUCUUGAAACAGAAGCUGCAGCUCUUGAAGAGGAUGAAGAUGAGGAGCAGAUCUAUAAUGAGGAGGAAGGCUAGGAUGUCCAGGCUGUGGUACUGGUACCAGGAAUUCCUUCGUUCGCUCUCGGCGUUUAUGACAUCAUCCCUCCAGCAACGCCGUCCGCACAACGACCAACUGGACAGCGUUUGACUUCGGAGCGACCUCUGACCUCAGGGGUUACAAGUUAAGCGGGCACAUCGAGCCGUUCCUCUGUCAGGCCUCUGGUCAGCGGACAAAGGGCAAAGGCCUCGGAGCUGUCACUCCUGGAUCCGGGCGACGGCGCCUCGGUGUCGCUGGUGGCGGUCCAGGUUCGGGGAGGCGAG
Xiphophorus maculatus (southern platyfish) is the source of this 575-nucleotide long non-coding RNA. RefSeq lists it as uncharacterized. Lineage: Eukaryota; Metazoa; Chordata; Actinopteri; Cyprinodontiformes; Poeciliidae. The transcript has 3 exons. The record is from RefSeq and is a predicted model, not a curated record.